AUAGCAAAAGGUUCUAUCGUUCCGUUGCACCAUGCAACGGGGAGGAAAGUCCGGGCAGCAUAGAGCAUCAUGCUUCCUAACGGGAAGUUGUCGUAAGGCAAGGCUCUGUAACAGAAAAUAACCGUCUCGUUGCUUGCAACGAGAUAAGGGUGAAAAGGUGAGGUAAGAGCUCACCAGUUCUAUUGGCGACAAUAGAAGCUGUACAUCCCAUGAGCUGUAAGGUCGUGUAUACCGGCAACUAAGGGUUGCUCGCCCAAUGUCGGGGGGUAGACCGCUGGAACUCGCUAGCAAUAGCGAGUCAAGAUAAAUGAUAGAAGUUCAUUUUCAUUUGAAAAUGAAAACAGAACCCGGCUUAUACUUUUGCUACAUUU
Molecule: RNase P RNA, 371 nt
Filed under: Bacteroidales bacterium
Lineage: Bacteria; Pseudomonadati; Bacteroidota; Bacteroidia; Bacteroidales
Description: RNase P RNA component class A
Rfam family: Bacterial RNase P class A
About the family: Ribonuclease P (RNase P) is a ubiquitous endoribonuclease, found in archaea, bacteria and eukarya as well as chloroplasts and mitochondria. Its best characterised activity is the generation of mature 5'-ends of tRNAs by cleaving the 5'-leader elements of precursor-tRNAs.
Source: RNAcentral